AGACUAUAGCAGAUGUAGAUGAGGACAUUCGUAGGCCACACAAGGUCAUCAUAGAGCUCCAGUCCUCGCUUAACUCUAUCAAUAGGCAGCUCUCUAACCAGAACACCAUUAUACUAGGUCUGAAGCAUGAUCUUGCUAGUGCUAAUAAGAAGAUUAGGGAGUUAGAGCGCCGCUAAGUUAUCUAGAUUAGAUCUUGAGGCAGUAUAUCUUAGUUAUUCAUCUUUAAAUUCGGUUUAAAUCUAUUAUUAGUUUCAGUUUGCCAUUAGUUAUUUGUAAUAAAUGCCUCAAUAUUAAUCAAGAUUAUUAUUAUUAUUAUGUCUUGUAUGUCUCUACUUUAUUUUUAUGCAAGAAAGCAGAAAACAAGCAUGGGGGAGAUCCCUCGACAUGCCAAACGCACUUCGACCACACCACUCUACGAUUCAGGUACAUACUCUGCACACUUUACACAUACACAUAUAUCUUGGUUUGUGCGGAAUAUUGUCUUCGACAUGAUAAAUUAACAAGAUGUUUCUAAUCAUGAUUAAUCUCACUCUGUGAUAUUUCCUGAAAACUUGCAAUUAGUAAAAAUCAUUUAAAAACCCUGUGUUACUUAAAUCAUUGUGGAAUGUGAGAUGGUAGAGUAUGAGUAUCUUAUUCUUGAUAUCGUUGUUGCUUUAGAAUUUAUUUCAAAAUCUUUAAAAAUUCUAACUACCAUCCUCAGUGUUUUAUAUGCCUGAUAAACAUGAAAAUAUUAACUAUGAUAAUUAUAAAAGCUAUCUGCUCUGUAUUGAGUUUGUUCAAAACGAGUUAGACCCUUGUCGAGAGAUUUAUCAUACUCCUAAGAUUAAGACAUUUAUUCAGAAAGAUUCACUCUUCCGAAGUAUUAUUGCGUUAGAGGCAUGGGCUAUGCAAAAAUAAAAAUAUUUUGAGGAAAUAAAAAGGAGCAAGUGCUCGACAACCACGCAGAAAAAAUGGACAACUGCCCGACAAUAGAAUUAGGGGUACCUCGGUAUCCACAUGAAAAAAAAGAAAAGAGAAUGAAGAAAAUGAUAGCCCAUGGUACCUCUAACAAGCAAUAUGCCAGUAAGAGUUGACAAGUUUUUAAUUUCCAAAGUCUUUGAUCUAAGAGUAUGGCAUUCGUCUCCUCGGAUCCCGUUUUGAUCAGGCAAUAAAUGCAAGGUAAGUAUGCUUGAGAAUUUAUACAAAAUUAAAACAGCCUCAGUGAGAUAUAUAAAAGAUAACGAGUGACCUGAGAGAACCUAUGAGGAUAAAGUUAUGCUAAAUUUCUUUUGAAAAGUAUACAAAAACUCCAAGUGACAGGAUUAAGAAGAAAGGACCUCUACUUUGGCCAUAUAUUUUCCUGACUACGGUACACAGUGGAUUAUUUCAACACCCUGCAGGUAUGAAGAGAAUGUUUUGCAAUGUUUUAACCCUAGAUAUUUUUAUUAAUCAUCCUUUUCUCGAGGACGAGUAAAAGCCUAAGUAUGGGGGUGUUUGUUGACGGUUCUUAAGUAUCAGUUUUAGUUAUCAAAUAAACAAGGAAAAGGACUAAUAUACAAACAACACCUAGAAUUAGGGUUUGAUCUGACAGAAUUCCAC
RNAcentral lists this long non-coding RNA (1578 nucleotides) under Sorghum bicolor (sorghum). Its description in RNAcentral is "long non-coding RNA (SBIC_LNC016034)". The record is from RNAcentral. Lineage: Eukaryota; Viridiplantae; Streptophyta; Magnoliopsida; Poales; Poaceae.